Molecule: ribosomal RNA, 894 nt
Filed under: uncultured Candidatus Babelota bacterium
Lineage: Bacteria
Description: bacterial SSU rRNA
Rfam family: Bacterial small subunit ribosomal RNA (bases 3-579)
Source: RNAcentral
UAGAGUUUGAUCCUGGCUCAGAACGAACGCUGGCGGCGCGCCUAAUACAUGCAAGUCGAACGAGAAUGUGUAGCAAUACACAUGUACAGUGGCGAACGGGUGAGGAUUACAUGGGUAACCUACCCUCGAGUGGGGAAUAACCAGCCGAAAGGUUGGCUAAUACCGCGUACGCUUCCCGGACUGCGGUUCGGGAAGGAAAGCGAUACCGUGGGUAUCGCGCUCUUGGAUGGGCUCAUGCCCUAUCAGCUUGUUGGUGAGGUAACGGCUCACCAAGGCUUCGACGGGUAGCUGAUCUGAGAGGAUGAUCAGCCACACUGGCACUGCGACACGGGCCAGACUCCUACGGGAGGCAGCAGUAAGGAAUAUUGCGCAAUGGGCGAAAGCCUGACGCAGCGACGCCGCGUGGGGGAUGAAGGUCUUCGGAUUGUAAACCCCUUUCGGGAGGGAAGAUGGGAAUGGGUAACCCAUUCGGACGGUACCUCCAAAANCAGCCACGGCUAACUUCCUGCCACCACCCGCGUUAAUACAAAGGUGGCAAGCGUUGUUCCGGAUUUACUGGGCGUACCAGGAACCUAAGCCGGUUGGAUAACCCCUCCGUGAAAUCUCCGAGGCUGAACCUNAAAAAUGCAAAAGGGGACUGUUUCAACCUCAAGUAAUGGAAAAGAACCCCCGAAUUUCCCGUUGCGCCCAUUGAAUUUCCUUAAAAUACAGAAAGAAAGCGGGGGGCGAAUGGGGGNUGAAGAUAAAUUUUCGUGGGCGCAGCGGCCUGAGNNGUUNUGAUGGGAGGCGUAUGUAUGACCGGUGCAGGCCGGAGCUGGUGGGCGUGCUGUCAGCUGGAUGGCGCGCGAUCNAGCGCCGCGCGGUAUGGCGCGCUUGGANCUAAUCGCGACGAAC